RNAcentral lists this ribosomal RNA (503 nucleotides) under uncultured bacterium. Its description in RNAcentral is "partial 16S ribosomal RNA". It matches the Rfam family "Bacterial small subunit ribosomal RNA", at positions 30 to 523 of the family's 1533-position model. The record is from RNAcentral.
AUUGAACGCUGGCGGCAGGCUUAACACAUGCAAGUCGAGCGGGGUGAUGGUGCUUGCACUAUCACUUAGCGGCGGACGGGUGAGUAAUGCUUAGGAAUCUGCCUAUUAGUGGGGGACAACAUCUCGAAAGGGAUGCUAAUACCGCAUACGUCCUACGGGAGAAAGCAGGGGAUCACUUGUGACCUUGCGCUAAUAGAUGAGCCUAAGUCGGAUUAGCUAGUUGGUGGGGUAAAGGCCUACCAAGGCGACGAUCUGUAGCGGGUCUGAGAGGAUGAUCCGCCACACUGGGACUGGGACACGGCCCAGACUCCUACGGGAGGCAGCAGUGGGGAAUAUUGGACAAUGGGGGGAACCCUGAUCCAGCCAUGCCGCGUGUGUGAAGAAGGCCUUAUGGUUGUAAAGCACUUUAAGCGAGGAGGAGGCUCUUUUGGUUAAUACCCAAGAUGAGUGGACGUUACUCGCAGAAUAAGCACUGGCUAACUCUGUGCCAGCCGCCACCGUAA